This 382-nucleotide ribosomal RNA is filed under the name Paratinia sciarina. RNAcentral describes it as "partial 16S ribosomal RNA". The record is from RNAcentral. Lineage: Eukaryota; Metazoa; Arthropoda; Insecta; Diptera; Mycetophilidae.
UCGAAGGUAGCAUAAUCAGUAGUUUUUUAAUUGGAAACUUGUAUGAAUGGUUUAACGAAAUAUUAUCUGUUUCAUAAAAAUUAUAAUAGAAGUUAAUUUUUUAGUUAAAAAGCUAAAAUUUAAUUUAAAGACGAGAAGACCCUAUAGAGUUUUAUAUAUAAUUAAUUGAGUUUUAUUCAUAAUAAUUAAAUUUUUAUUUAAAUUUUAUAUUUUAUUGGGGUGAUAAUAAAAAUUUAUUAUCUUUUAUUAUUUUUUAACAAAGAUUUUUGUUUUAUUGAUCCAUUAUUAUUGAUUAAAGAUUAAAUUACCUUAGGGAUAACAGCGUUAUUUUUUUUUAGAGUUCUUAUCGAUAAAAAUUUUUGCGACCUCGAUGUUGGAUUAA